Long non-coding RNA from Phasianus colchicus (ring-necked pheasant), 556 nucleotides. The record is from Ensembl. NCBI's taxonomy places the organism in Eukaryota, Metazoa, Chordata, Aves, Galliformes, Phasianidae.
ACAGACCCGACCCCAUAGAUCUGACCCCACAGAUCUGACCCCAUAGAUCUGACCCCAUAGAUCUCAAUGAGCCCCACAGAUCCGACCCCAUAGAUCUGACCCCACAGAUCUCAAUGAGCCCCAAAGAUCCAAACCCACAGAUCCGACCCCAUAGAUCUCAAGGAGCCCCACAGAUUCGACCCCACUGACCCACAGACCCAACAAACAACAGUAAGACCAAUCACCCCACAGAUCCCAUAAGAACGGCCCCACAGAUCGCCACCCGCUGGGCCCCAAAUAUCCCACCCUACAAGACCCCACAGACCCUACAAGACCCCAUAGAUCCUACAAGACCCCAUAAGACCCUACAAGACCCCAUAGAUCCUACAAGACCCCAUAAGACCCCACAGAUCCUACAAGACCCCACAGAUCCAAGCAAGACAAUAGGGAACAAUCCGCCACCCCAUAGAGCCGCCCUACAGAACCCACCCCAUAGAGCCACCCUACAGAGCCACCCUACAGAGCCACCCUACAGAGCCACCCUACAGAACCCACCCCAUAGAGCCACCCUACAGAG